This 492-nucleotide ribosomal RNA is filed under the name uncultured bacterium. RNAcentral's name for it is "partial 16S ribosomal RNA". It matches the Rfam family "Bacterial small subunit ribosomal RNA", at positions 29 to 507 of the family's 1533-position model. The record is from RNAcentral.
AGUGAACGCUGGCGGCAGGCCUAACACAUGCAAGUCGAACGGCAGCACAGUAAGAGCUUGCUCUUACGGGUGGCGAGUGGCGGACGGGUGAGGAAUACAUCGGAAUCUACUUUUUCGUGGGGGAUAACGUAGGGAAACUUACUCUAAUACCGCAUACGACCUACGGGUGAAAGCAGGGGAUCUUCGGACCUUGCUCGAUUGAAUGAGCCGAUGUCGGAUUAGCUAGUUGGCGGGGUAAAGGCCCACCAAGGCGACGAUCCGUAGCCGGUCGGAGAGGAUGGUCGGCGACACUGGAACUGAGACACGGUCCAGACUCCUACGGGAGGCAGCAGUGGGGAAUAUUGGACAAUGGGCGCAAGCCUGAUCCAGCCGUAGCGCGUGGGUGAAGAAGGCCUUGGGGUUGUGAAGCCAUUUUGUUGGGAAAGAAAAGCAGCCGGUUAAGACGCCGCUGUUCUGACGGUACCGGAAGAAUAAGCACCGGCUAACUUCGUG